Molecule: ribosomal RNA, 274 nt
Filed under: uncultured bacterium
Lineage: Bacteria
Description: partial 16S ribosomal RNA
Rfam family: Bacterial small subunit ribosomal RNA
Source: RNAcentral
CUACGGAGGGUCCGAGCGUUAUCCGGAAUCAUUGGGUUUAAAGGGUCCGUAGGCGGGAAUCUAAGUCAGUGGUGAAAUCUUGCAGCUCAACUGUAAAAUUGCCAUUGAUACUGGUUUUCUUGAAUUAGUGUGAAGUGGUUAGAAUGUGUGGUGUAGCGGUGAAAUGCAUAGAUAUUACACAGAAUACCAAUUGCGAAGGCAGAUCACUAACACUAUAUUGACGCUAAGGGACGAAAGCGUGGGGAGCGAACAGGAUUAGAAACCCUAGUAGUCC